AGUGAACGCUGGCGGUAGGCCUAACACAUGCAAGUCGAACGGCAGCACAGUAAGAGCUUGCUCUUACGGGUGGCGAGUGGCGGACGGGUGAGGAAUACAUCGGAAUCUACUUUUUCGUGGGGGAUAACGUAGGGAAACUUACGCUAAUACCGCAUACGACCUACGGGUGAAAGCAGGGGAUCUUCGGACCUUGCGCGAUUGAAUGAGCCGAUGUCGGAUUAGCUAGUUGGCGGGGUAAAGGCCCACCAAGGCGACGAUCCGUAGCUGGCCUGAGAGGAUGAUCAGCCACACUGGAACUGAGACACGGUCCAGACUCCUACGGGAGGCAGCAGUGGGGAAUAUUGGACAAUGGGCGCAAGCCUGAUCCAGCCAUACCGCGUGGGUGAAGAAGGCCUUCGGGUUGUAAAGCCCUUUUGUUGGGAAAGAAAGGCAGCAGGUUAAUACCCCGCUGUUCUGACGGUACCCAAAGAAUAAGCACCGGCUAACUUCGUG
RNAcentral lists this ribosomal RNA (492 nucleotides) under uncultured bacterium. Its description in RNAcentral is "partial 16S ribosomal RNA". It matches the Rfam family "Bacterial small subunit ribosomal RNA", at positions 29 to 507 of the family's 1533-position model. The record is from RNAcentral.